This 982-nucleotide unclassified non-coding RNA is filed under the name Hevea brasiliensis (rubber tree). The record is from RNAcentral. Lineage: Eukaryota; Viridiplantae; Streptophyta; Magnoliopsida; Malpighiales; Euphorbiaceae.
CUGAAAUGCCUUAGUUUACAGGAAUUGGCGUCCUGGGACUAGGGAUUCCCAUGUAUGCAAGCCUAGGAGACAACCUAACCUGUGGACUGGGGCGUGGAGAUGGGAUUGGACCAUAGUUAUUGAAAGUCCCAGGAGGCACCCGAGGAGAUAGGUUGACCUGUUCCAAUGCUCUUGAUUGCAGCUCUGUAGGGUAGUCUCUGACACACCCAAUCCGGGGUCCUGCCCCAGUUGUCCACUUGCAAGGUAAGCGUUCAGGCCAAUCAAAAACAGUUGCCUUGGCGUCGGCAUUGCUAGUGUCAAUUUCUUGCUCUGUGAUUUUAGUCUCCUUAGUGGACAAAUCCAUAUCAGGUUUAUUUGUAUCGUUGGGUUGAGAAACUGGAGCAGAAACCACAAUUGAUUCUGGCUUUUGUUCUUCUUCAGAUACAACACUUGAAGGACUGUCAUCAUCAAUUGCACACCUCUUAACAUUUGUGAGAUCUACAUGAUUUUCCCGAAGGAAACUAAUAAAUUCCCUGAAGUUUUCUUCUGUUGGAAGAUAGUGACCGCUGUAUGGCCAGAUUGCCUCAAGAAUUCCAUUGUGGGCAACCAAUCUUCCAGCUGCAGUGGUGGCACCACCAGAAAGGAAACUUGAGUGUUGGAAAGAACCCUUCUUCUUUUGCCCAACGUACAAAGCCCUUGUUGUGCUAAGCACAAAUAUCCAUUUGGAACCCUCAACUGUAUCCACAAGUUUUCCACUUUCUUUAUAAACAAGCUUUCCAUUUUCAACUAUUACUUCAUAUGCUUCCCUUUCUUUUGGUCCAAGAUAUUUGAUGCACUGUCGUUGUAGAACAGUUCUUGGACAUUUCUCUAGAUUCACUUCCUUGCCAUCUCCAACAUCCAACCAGUAGAAGAAAGGUUGGGUGCUCUCACUUCUGAACCAGACAUCGUAAUACAAGUGCAAGUUGUGGCCAUAUCGAUGGCGAGGAUCAAUAGCUUCAAGCCA